This 462-nucleotide ribosomal RNA is filed under the name uncultured bacterium. RNAcentral's name for it is "bacterial SSU rRNA". It matches the Rfam family "Bacterial small subunit ribosomal RNA", at positions 8 to 460 of the family's 1533-position model. The record is from RNAcentral.
AGAGUUUGAUCCUGGCUCAGAUUGAACGCUGGCGGCGUGCUUAACACAUGCAAGUCGUGCGAGAAAGGGGACUUCGGUCCCUGAGUAGAGCGGCGCACGGGUGAGUAACGCGUGGAUAAUCUCCCCAGAAGUUCGGGAUAACGGCGGGAAACUGCCGCUAAUACCGGAUACGCUCCAAUUUCGGUUGGGGGAAAGGCGGCCUCUGUUUACAAGCUGUCGCUUCUGGAUGAGUCCGCGUCCCAUUAGCUUGUUGGUGGGGUAAUGGCCUACCAAGGCUACGAUGGGUAGCUGGUCUGAGAGGAUGAUCAGCCACACUGGAACUGAAACACGGUCCAGACUCCUACGGGAGGCAGCAGUGGGGAAUAUUGCGCAAUGGGGGAAACCCUGACGCAGCGACGCCGGGUGAGGGAUGAAGGCUUUCGGGUCGUAAACCUCUGUCGGGAGGGAAGAACCUUCCAGGCC